AACGAACGCUGGCGGCAUGCCUAACACAUGCAAGUCGAACGAGACCUUCGGGUCUAGUGGCGCACGGGUGCGUAACGCGUGGGAACCUGCCCUUAGGUUCGGAAUAACUCCCCGAAAGGGGUGCUAAUACCGGAUAAUGUCUUCGGACCAAAGAUUUAUCGCCUUUGGAUGGGCCCGCGUUGGAUUAGCUAGUUGGUAGGGUAAAAGCCUACCAAGGCGACGAUCCAUAGCUGGUCUGAGAGGAUGAUCAGCCACACUGGGACUGAGAUACGGCACAGACUCCGACGGGGGGCAGCAGCGGGGAAGAUUGCAAAAUGGGCGGAAUCGUGAUGUAGCAACGCCGCGUGAGGGAGGACGGCCUUCGGGGUGUAGAGCGCUUGCGCCCGUGACGAAGCGUGAGUGACGGGCGUGUGAAAAGAAGCACAGGCUCACUACGGC
This 438-nucleotide ribosomal RNA is filed under the name uncultured bacterium. Its description in RNAcentral is "partial 16S ribosomal RNA". It matches the Rfam family "Bacterial small subunit ribosomal RNA", at positions 29 to 508 of the family's 1533-position model. The record is from RNAcentral.